Molecule: long non-coding RNA, 134 nt
Filed under: Nannospalax galili (Upper Galilee mountains blind mole rat)
Lineage: Eukaryota; Metazoa; Chordata; Mammalia; Rodentia; Spalacidae
Source: RNAcentral
CUUUCGCCUCUCUUGUCCAGAGAGCGACUGUUCAGGUGGGUGAGAAUAUGCUAGAAAAUUCUUUCAAAAAGAACUGAAACCUCCUUUCGUCGCUUCCACAGCAGUCGCCUCCGCGCUUUCUGGCACGUUUACGG